Molecule: ribosomal RNA, 1453 nt
Filed under: uncultured organism
Description: SSU rRNA
Rfam family: Bacterial small subunit ribosomal RNA
Source: RNAcentral
CUCAUGACGAACGCUGGCGGCGUGCCUAAUACAUGCAAGUAGAACGCUGAAGAGAGGAGCUUGCUCUUCUUGGAUGAGUUGCGAACGGGUGAGUAACGCGUAGGUAACCUGCCUUGUAGCGGGGGAUAACUAUUGGAAACGAUAGCUAAUACCGCAUAACAAUAGGUGACACAUGUCAUUUAUUUGAAAGGGGCAAUUGCUCCACUACAAGAUGGACCUGCGUUGUAUUAGCUAGUAGGUGAGGUAACGGCUCACCUAGGCGACGAUACAUAGCCGACCUGAGAGGGUGAUCGGCCACACUGGGACUGAGACACGGCCCAGACUCCUACGGGAGGCAGCAGUAGGGAAUCUUCGGCAAUGGGGGCAACCCUGACCGAGCAACGCCGCGUGAGUGAAGAAGGUUUUCGGAUCGUAAAGCUCUGUUGUAAGUCAAGAACGAGUGUGAGAGUGGAAAGUUCACACUGUGACGGUAGCUUACCAGAAAGGGACGGCUAACUACGUGCCAGCAGCCGCGGUAAUACGUAGGUCCCGAGCGUUGUCCGGAUUUAUUGGGCGUAAAGCGAGCGCAGGCGGUUUGAUAAGUCUGAAGUUAAAGGCUGUGGCUCAACCAUAGUUCGCUUUGGAAACUGUCAAACUUGAGUGCAGAAGGGGAGAGUGGAAUUCCAUGUGUAGCGGUGAAAUGCGUAGAUAUAUGGAGGAACACCGGUGGCGAAAGCGGCUCUCUGGUCUGUAACUGACGCUGGGGCUCGAAAGCGUGGGGAGCGAACAGGAUUAGAUACCCUGGUAGUCCACGCCGUAAACGAUGAGUGCUAGGUGUUGGAUCCUUUCCGGGAUUCAGUGCCGCAGCUAACGCAUUAAGCACUCCGCCUGGGGAGUACGACCGCAAGGUUGAAACUCAAAGGAAUUGACGGGGGCCCGCACAAGCGGUGGAGCAUGUGGUUUAAUUCGAAGCAACGCGAAGAACCUUACCAGGUCUUGACAUCCCGAUGCUAUUUCUAGAGAUAGAAAGUUACUUCGGUACAUCGGUGACAGGUGGUGCAUGGUUGUCGUCAGCUCGUGUCGUGAGAUGUUGGGUUAAGUCCCGCAACGAGCGCAACCCCUAUUGUUAGUUGCCAUCAUUCAGUUGGGCACUCUAGCGAGACUGCCGGUAAUAAACCGGAGGAAGGUGGGGAUGACGUCAAAUCAUCAUGCCCCUUAUGACCUGGGCUACACACGUGCUACAAUGGUUGGUACAACGAGUUGCGAGUCGGUGACGGCAAGCUAAUCUCUUAAAGCCAAUCUCAGUUCGGAUUGUAGGCUGCAACUCGCCUACAUGAAGUCGGAAUCGCUAGUAAUCGCGGAUCAGCACGCCGCGGUGAAUACGUUCCCGGGCCUUGUACACACCGCCCGUCACACCACGAGAGUUUGUAACACCCGAAGUCGAUGAGGUAACCUUUUGGAGCCAGCCGCCUAA